RNAcentral lists this ribosomal RNA (1255 nucleotides) under Stenotrophomonas sp. N-S4-D. Its description in RNAcentral is "partial 16S ribosomal RNA". The stretch from base 164 to 1255 matches the Rfam family "Bacterial small subunit ribosomal RNA". Lineage: Bacteria; Pseudomonadati; Pseudomonadota; Gammaproteobacteria; Lysobacterales; Lysobacteraceae. The record is from RNAcentral.
GAGUAGUCACUGCCCUGGGGGCCACUUCUUUUGUAUCACAUUGGGGGUCUCUAGGGGACGGUGUAUUCUCCACCCCCUUAUCGCCGUGGGGUGUGAUAGAAAAAGAGCCGUUUUUCGCGGUAUUUAUAAAGCGCACUUUUUAAUGGGUGGAGAGAAGAAUGGCAUUUCGUAGAUUAUAAUCCUUUGGUCGGAUGUUUAGCGGGUUCUCCAAAGAAAUAAUAAGCGCCCCGGCUCUAAUUUGUUGCCCCACCACACGCGCCGCUUAUUACACAAGGGGGGUCAAACGCUUAUAUUGGAAAUUUUUGGGGGUAAAAAGCGCGGAUGGGGGGUUUUUUAAAUUUGGGAUGAAAACCCCCGGGUCUACCCUGGGGGAAUUCGCAUGAAAAUCGGCCACUCGAGUGUUGUAGAGGGGGGGGGAUUUUUCCGUGUGACAGGGUAAAAUGUGUAGAUCGGGAGGGACAUCCAGGGGGGAGAGAGGCCCCCCGGACUUCAUAUUCACUGUGGCGUGAAAAAGUGGGGAGCACACCCGGUUUGAUAUCCCUGUAAUGCCCACCCUUAAAGAGAUGUAAUGUAUCUUUGGGGCCAUUUGGCUUUUAAGUGGGGAAGUUACGCCUUAAGUUUGCCGCCUGGGGAGUACGGUCGCAAGGCUUAAACUCAAAAGAAUUGGCGGGGGCCCGCCCCAGCGGGGGAGUAUGUGGUUUUAUUUGAAACAACGCGAAGAACCUUACCCGGCCUUGACAUUUCAAGAACUUUCCAGAGAUGGAAUGGGGCCUUUGGGAAACAUAAAACAGGUGCUGCAAGGCUGUUGUUAGCUUGUGUUGUGAGAUGUUGGGUUAAAUUCCGCAACGAGCGCAACCCUUGGCCUUCCUUUCCAUCUAGUCAUGGUUGGUCCUCUAAGGAUACCGCCGGAGACUAACCGGAGGUAGGGGGGGAUGCCGUCAAGUCAUCAGUGCCCUUACGGCCAUGGGCACUUCACUACUACAAAGGGAGGGACACAAGGCUGCACCCCGCUCUAGGUGGCCCAAUUCCAAUGCAGUUCUCUGGUUUAGCCCGGGGAUUUCACACUUGGCUCCAUGGAGUUGGGAUGCGUAGGAAUUGCCCAGUCAUCAUUGAUGCGGUGAAUACGUUUCCGGGCCUUGUACGCUCCUCCCGUCACACCAUGGGAGUUUGUUCACCAGGUCCAUCUAGCUUAACCUUCGGGAGGGCGCUUCCCUUCGGUGCCCCGAUGAAGUGCUUGAAGUCGAAACAACGGUAU